RNAcentral lists this microRNA precursor (57 nucleotides) under Acyrthosiphon pisum (pea aphid). RNAcentral's name for it is "mir-3015 microRNA precursor family". It matches the Rfam family "mir-3015 microRNA precursor family". The record is from Rfam by way of RNAcentral. Lineage: Eukaryota; Metazoa; Arthropoda; Insecta; Hemiptera; Aphididae.
GUUCUUACAAUUACCAGUUAAAGUUAAUCAAAACUUUACCAGACAUUGUAAGAACGG